This 548-nucleotide ribosomal RNA is filed under the name Globigerinoides ruber albus. RNAcentral's name for it is "SSU rRNA". It matches the Rfam family "Eukaryotic small subunit ribosomal RNA", at positions 1292 to 1584 of the family's 1831-position model. Lineage: Eukaryota; Foraminifera; Rotaliida; Globigerinidae. The record is from RNAcentral.
UCUUAGUUCGUGGAGUGAUCUGUCUGCUUAAUUGCGUUUCAAAUUUUUAACCGAGGACCGGGUUUUGGUUUGGCUAGUGGUCCUACGAUGACUGUGAACUGUCAUGUCUUCGGAUGUACGACUAUCGGUCUAGGAUCACAUGACUUGCCCCUGGGACUCUUUUGAACGCAACGGACGUGAUUGCAACCCCUUGUUGAGAUUAGAGAUAGUCUCGAUAUUCACUGGCCAAACUGGCUGCUUUAUGCAGUCUUGUUGAAUGGUGGAUAAACUCGGGGGACUGCUGACUAUAACCAUUUCUCAAAACAGAGGAAGGUUGCGGCAAUAACAGGUCUGUGAUGCCCUCAGAUGUCCCGGGCUGCACACGUGCUACAAUGAGUGGCGCAAUGUGCUAAUGUUUUAAGGGAUAAGCGUGCGGCCAGUAGAACGUCGGCAAUUGCCCUGGCGUCUUCUACCGCACGAUUAUCAGCCUUCCCUUAACAGGGCGGGCAACCUUUUCAAAAUACCGGUUUGAUGUUAAAGUAUAGAGUCGUUUUUUUUGGAUGGUGGUU